CACGAAAGCACUGUCCCAAACAGCCUCUGGGACCUCUUCUCAAUACGGGGACUGUGGGGCUGAUCUCUUUGCUCGGAAAUAUUUUGUGUCAAGACGGAGCAAAACAAGCAGAAGAUGGACGUAGGACUGCCUCAGAAAUCUCCUGUGCUCACAGAAAUCUGAAGAGAUUGCAGAGAUAUAAGAUCACAAUUGGCAAGACUCACUGGGAAGUUCACUGUUACCACAUGGAAAAUUAGACAUUAGAACCACAG
Molecule: long non-coding RNA, 251 nt
Organism: Centrocercus urophasianus (Greater sage-grouse)
Lineage: Eukaryota; Metazoa; Chordata; Aves; Galliformes; Phasianidae
Exons: 3
Source: RefSeq, a predicted model, not a curated record